UAAUAAAGUGUUUUAUGGCACUUUUUAAAAAUCCAUAUCCACCUUGUGUGCAAUGUUAGAUCUCGUCAAUCUUGGCGAGGUUUUUAUACAUCAACUCAUUCUUUAACUAAUUUGUCUGAGUCUAUGAUUAAAUCAAAAACA
Molecule: unclassified non-coding RNA, 141 nt
Filed under: uncultured Mortierella
Lineage: Eukaryota; Fungi; Mortierellomycota; Mortierellomycetes; Mortierellales; Mortierellaceae
Description: sequence contains ITS1
Source: RNAcentral